Molecule: long non-coding RNA, 422 nt
Organism: Bombus pascuorum
Lineage: Eukaryota; Metazoa; Arthropoda; Insecta; Hymenoptera; Apidae
Exons: 3
Source: RefSeq, a predicted model, not a curated record
CACCUGAGAUACAAAAAAUGAUGAAUUCAUAUAUUCAGCAUAUAUUUAAGAAAUAAAUAUUUGAUGUAUUUAUGUAAACUAACAUGACGAGAUUUUGACUGGUACCAGACAUAUCACAGACAUUGCAAUGUGUUAAAAGGAACAGUAUUUGAAGGCAAAGGUGGAACAGGUGGAGGUGGUGGUAGUUUAGGUAAUGGUGGUGGUGAUGUAAUUUCAGUACUAGUAGAUGUGGCAACAAACAUUUGUGGACUUGAUUCUGAUGCUACAUCUCCUUCUGGUCUUGGAAUUGGUUUUAUCUAUUUAAUAAAAUAAUUAUGAGGUGUGUCAGGCGUGGUUGCAUUCGUUAUACUAUUAAGAUUGGCGGAAGAAUUUUUGGAUGUACUAGGCGUUGUUGGCGUUGUAGAUAAUUGUACUUCUUGUAG